This 704-nucleotide long non-coding RNA is filed under the name Felis catus (domestic cat). RNAcentral's name for it is "lncRNA (ENSFCAG00000047491.1)". Lineage: Eukaryota; Metazoa; Chordata; Mammalia; Carnivora; Felidae. The record is from RNAcentral.
CCUCGGGCCAUUCCUAACUCAUGCCAUAGCUGCCUCGUUGUGUCUCUCUGAAGAUUAAUGGGUAGCACCAUGUCUGGCACAUAAUAAGCACUCAAAAAACAUGAACUGUUAUUGUUAUUUUUUCUCCCCAAAUACUAUCAUAACUUACGUAUUAUUUUGUAAUCUGGUUUUUAAAUUUAGAAGUAUAUCAUGAACACUGCUUCUGAUCCUGGGGUUCUUUCUUCAGAGGAAUGGAUCUUGCUCAGUAGUGGAUGUAAAUCAGGUUGACCCCCCCCCCCCCAGGAAACAACUAGCUGGUCUCUAAUGAAGUGCCCAGGCAAUUCUGGGGUACAUUUUUCUUGGGACUGAUUCGGGAAGUGGCCAGUGAGGAGAAGGCACAAGGUCUCAGGAGAAAUAAACAGAAGCGUGAUACUUUUGAGGCCUGCAGUUCGAACCCUUCAAAUUCAGCCUGGGCAGGUGACACCUGUUCUUUCAUCUCCUUUGCAGACGUGAAGAAAACCUUUGGUUUGAAGAGAUAAAAGAGAGUAGUUUCAUUCAGGUCACGAAGGAGGGCAACACAGUGUAUUUACAGGCCUGCAAGGCCUGUGACUCUCCAGUGGGAGGUCGGAGCUCCCAGAACUUGCUGCUGCCAGGAGAGCUCUGUGGGUAUAAAGGCAGCACGGACUCUCAGGUAUCCACCCCCUUGAAUGAUUUUUAAACAAGCU